CCUUUUUAUAAGACCCUUUUAAGUACUGGAAGACUGCAAUGAGGUCUCCCUGGAGCCUUCUCUUCUCCAGACUGAACAUCCCCAACUCUCUCAGCCUGUCUUCAUAGGAGCAGAAGAAAAUCGCCAUUAGAGGGAGUUUUGGAAAGCAGCAGUUCAGACAGCUAGGACUCAUAGGUGAAACAGACCCUUGGCGGAUUCUUGGGCAGGAAUAGCAAAAAUCUGUCGAGUAUAUUUUUCCACUGGGGACCUACUCACCCAGAAAAGGCCUGCAUGUGAGCUCCAUCAGCCAGAGUAUCUAAACCUGGAUAGAGCACUAAGGAAUUAAGAGCUGGAAGCCAGCCUAUGCCAUCCCCAGGAAAUGGCUAGACCCAAGCAGCUUAAAACCUAUCAUAAUAGUUAGAAUAAACAACUAAUCCCAGCAAGAACACAUCUGGACCUCAGGGGCAGACAGGCACGUACCAGAGCACUCCAGUAGCUGAAGUUCCACUCUUAACAGCAGCUAAACCCGAUGCAAUCAUCUAAGACAGCACGAAGAAGCAAAGGUUGCCCUGACGCCCCAAAGCUGAACUAGACACCGUAACAAACAAGGGACAGCGCACAGAAAACAAUCCCAAGACCCACCUUUUACCUGGGACUCAUCAACCAACGGCAGACGACGAGGGUAAGCCACAAAGAGCUCUACAACGAUGAGAAACAGCACCUGUCAGGACACAGAUGAUGCUCCCAAAGAGGGAACCAAGAGCUUCCUGCGUAGCUAAUGCUCCCUUCCACGCCUCUUCACACAGGAAGCACUACUGGGAGGGAGAGCACUCCAAGCACUUCAGCGGGAAUGAACAGCAAGGAGAAGGAAAAACAAAGACUUCUUCCCGCCAGAGCAGCAAGUGUGGAGGAUUUCACUCUAUCUGGGUUGAAGAGCCUAGAUGCGCUUGGACUUCGAAGAUUCCAAGCAUGCACAAGCAAGGUGCACAGCUCUGUGGACCUGCUGGUUAUACUGGAGGUGCACCACAGUUUAACUCCAGGGCAUCUCUGGCAGCUGCCAUGGAAGAGCAAAGAGCUGGUGGUUCCAGCGUCGCGCCAGCCAAGUCACCUCACGCAGCAGUUCAUCCCCGCUGUUACACAGCAGCAAGACAGCAACCUUCCCAAACCAACACAAUACGAUGCAAAAGGUAGAGGGUUUUAAAAUACAUCAUUUUUUCACUUUCUUCAACUGAACAUCUGUGGUUUUAAAUUUGUAAGAUUUCAGUUAGGUGCUGCAUUUUUUUUUUUAUUUUUUUAGCAGGCAUCUAGAAAGAGGAAAGGGACUUUCAGGGGGAGGCAGAUGUAGUGGCACCUACAACAUUAUAACAGAAAAUACUGAACACCACAAAACGGAUCUUCUAGGUAUCAAAGAUACAGGUCAAGGUGGCAAGGAGGCACUGAUCACACCAUUUACACAGCAGAAAUGGCAAAAUACAUGAAAAAAAAAAAGAAAACAAAGACUCUAUAGCAUUUAGAGUAUGAAUGCUCUGGAAAAAAAAACUCCAAUGAGGAUGGCGAUUAUUGUAGAAAAAACAAACUGACACAUUCCCAGGAUUUUCUUUCUACCAAGGAGAAAGAGGGAAUCGUGCACCAGUGUGGACUCGGUGAUCUUCGUAUCAGUAUCAGCCCCAGGUGUAUUACAUAUCCACGCACAGCUACAGCCAGCCAUGGCACUGGAGUCAGAGGAGGUCCUGCUUUGGCACUGACACAGCCUUGCCAUGAGACCUUGGGCAAAUCACUUCCUCCGUGACUCAGUUUCUUAUCCUGCCUGCUGUGAAAGUAGCAAAACAACGUGCACAACCCUGUGCAGAGACCUGGCAACAGAUGGACAGACGGACUGAGCUGCGUGUCACUGCUGCAUGCCCGGCAUGAACCAGUAUUUGGAUGGGGUCGAGAAUUGGAGCCGCACUCACAGAGCAGCUUACACAGGUCAGCAGCAGACAGCUAAAUCUUGUAGUGCUGCUCUGCAGGGACACACCACAGCCAAAGGUGUGCAAUUGUCAUCUGCACCGCACUGUCAGGAUCCCUUUGCGUCGCAUGCCCAGGACACAACCAUAGGACACCACAGCCCUACACCUUGUCGAAUAGCACUGCCCCCAGGGCGUGCAGACGUUGCAAGCAACAACACAACAGCCUGCCCUGUCAUGUAGCAUUACUUACGUGUUCAGAUAUGCAUCCUUCUCACAUUUCUACUCCAGCAAGUGGUUGCUAGCAGAGCAGGGCUAGGACAAGUUCACCACCUGCUAAAGACAUGUCCCUAAUACAACACAGCGAAGAUUUUGUUACAUCGGUUCCUUUCUGUGCACAGCUCAAGCACAAGGAAAGAACAUACGUCUAAGAUUCCUCCCCCCUUCCUUUUUUUUUUUUUUUUUUUUUCUCCUCCAAACUGACCGCAUGUCUGAUUUACCUCAGGAGAGAACAGCAGCACAUCGAUCAAGGCACUGAAAGAAAGAGGGGAGAGAGCUGGCAUCGAGGGCAGGCUCAAACAAGAGCAUUUACUUCAACCCUACCUACAUGAAGUGCAAGGACUCCAAACAGAGGAAUCCCUGCUCCAGUCCUCGCUGGGGCUUUAACACCACUGAUAAUGCCUUGCAAAAUCCAGAGCGGCCCAGGCAAAACCAGGCACGGUGUCAGUUCAUUCUUCCACUGGCAGAAGGCGUUCAGUCUCCCUGGCUCUUCCAGAUCAUGACCCCCUGCAUGCUCACAGUGACAGGGAAAGUACAACGAGCGAAAUGCACACCCAACUACUUCAAGAGCCUCCCCUCCAAACUGGAUUUCCCUGGGCCAAAGACCAAGAGGAGGCCACCUGCGACCAAGACGCCAGACUUCACUGUGAGGCACUACAACCAGCAACCCAGAAGCUCCUGACACAUUUUACUCUGCUGGCCAAAGCCAUUAACUUACUGCUGCCAGAAGAAACUGGGGAGGCAUGAAUAUGACAUACGACGUGAUGCAGUCAGCCCCAGCCUCCUGCUCAGUGCCCUCCUGUUGGGAGUCAGGCCCUGCUCUAUCUGACCAGGUGGGUCCUGUGGCCCCCUCCAUACCCCGUGGGAUCUUCCUAUGCUGCAUUUGUAAAGGCAAAAUGCAGCCUGCACUGGAGCACCAGAGGAGAAUUUAAUCAGGCUAAGCAGUCCUCUUCCCAAAUAAGAAUACCCUACUGCAGUCACAGUGCAGCUGACACACCAUCUUCUUGCAAAAACUUAAACUCCUGACACAAUUCAGGAUCACAAAGGUGCUGAGUCUCCAGAUGUUGUACAUUUUGCUAUUACUGCAAUAUCAGAUGCACUCCUAAAGCACACGUUUCCAGGCAUGGCACUGUUCUUCAAGCCUUCUCCCUUGACAGUUACUUCCACACGCUCUGAAUGACCAUGCCAGACUAAUGUUCUCAUGAGCUCAGAUGUUCAUUGCAGCCCACAUCCACUGCGGUGUGCACAAAGCCCUGAUACCACUAGGAUUCUGGCACAGGAGAUGAGCUCAACUCCUACUACAGCACCCUGGUCUCAGGUGGCCUCUGCUAUGCGCUACAGCCAUAUGAAGGGUACCUACAGCAUCACAGGCCCGUGCCAAGUGCCAGGAGACAGGUUGCUUGGAAGCUAGCUCAUCAGCAGCCUCGUGCAACUGCCAGCAGCACGUCAGGAUACAGGGUAAGUGGUUCCUAAACUACUUGGGCCAGGGCUGCAGUGUUCUCAUUGCAUGGGGCCCUGCGCAGACAUUUGCUUCACUGCUUACUGUCUCAUUAAACCGCUGUUGUCCUGA
Cygnus olor (mute swan) is the source of this 3774-nucleotide long non-coding RNA. RefSeq lists it as uncharacterized. NCBI's taxonomy places the organism in Eukaryota, Metazoa, Chordata, Aves, Anseriformes, Anatidae. The record is from RefSeq and is a predicted model, not a curated record. The transcript is spliced from 3 exons.